This 497-nucleotide ribosomal RNA is filed under the name uncultured bacterium. RNAcentral's name for it is "partial 16S ribosomal RNA". It matches the Rfam family "Bacterial small subunit ribosomal RNA", at positions 28 to 507 of the family's 1533-position model. The record is from RNAcentral.
GAUGAACGCUGGCGGCGUGCCUAAUACAUGCAAGUCGAGCGAACAGACGAGGAGCUUGCUCCUCUGACGUUAGCGGCGGACGGGUGAGUAACACGUGGAUAACCUACCUAUAAGACUGGGAUAACUUCGGGAAACCGGAGCUAAUACCGGAUAAUAUAUUGAACCGCAUGGUUCAAUAGUGAAAGACGGUUUUGCUGUCACUUAUAGAUGGAUCCGCGCCGCAUUAGCUAGUUGGUAAGGUAACGGCUUACCAAGGCAACGAUGCGUAGCCGACCUGAGAGGGUGAUCGGCCACACUGGAACUGAAACACGGUCCAGACUACUACGGGAGGCAGCAGUAGGGAAUCUUCCGCAAUGGGCGAAAGCUUGACGGAGCAACGCCGCGUGAGUGAUGAAGGUCUUCGGAUCGUAAAACUCUGUUAUGAGGGAAGAACAAAUGUGUAAGUAACUAUGCACGUCUUGACGGUACCUAAUCAGAAAGCCACGGCUAACUACGUG